This 253-nucleotide ribosomal RNA is filed under the name uncultured bacterium. Its description in RNAcentral is "partial 16S ribosomal RNA". It matches the Rfam family "Bacterial small subunit ribosomal RNA", at positions 524 to 776 of the family's 1533-position model. The record is from RNAcentral. RNAcentral also lists the same sequence under 1 other name.
GACGUAGGAUGCAAGCAUUGUCCGGAUUUAUUGGGCGUAAAGAGUUCGUAGGCGGUUUGUUAAGUCUAAUGUUAAAGAUCAGGGCUCAACCCUGGGACUGCAUUGGAUACUGGCAGACUGGAGUGUGGUAGAGGUAAGUGGAAUUUCUGGUGUAGCGGUGAAAUGCGUAGAUAUCAGGAAGAACACCAGUGGCGUAGGCGACUUACUGGGCCAUAACUGACGCUGAGGAACGAAAGCCAGGGGAGCAAAUGGG